AGAUUAUUCACUCCAAUAAUUAAAACAGACCCAACUCAGAUGGAAAGUAUACUGUUAAUUUAAGUCAAGUGAACAUCAUUUUUAAUAGCUCUAGUUUCAUUGAUCCAACAUGUAUACUCAGAUGGAGAGUAAGUACACGAUAUCAAUUACUAGUAUUUCACCUAGUGAGCUUACAAUAAAUUUAUCCGAUAUGGAGGAAGACCUAAAGUUAACGCAUAAAUUUAUUACUCACUUAAAAUUAAUAGUGGAAGACCAUAGAAAUAUAUUUCUAUCACCACUUAAUCAUGAUUGUAUUGUAGUUACAAAAUUGAUUCAACCCUUUAAGCUCAGAUGGAGAGUUAAUACUGGUUAUCAAUAACUAGUAACUAUAACCAGUGAGUUCAUAAUAAAUUUAUCCGAUAUGGAGGAAGACCUAAUGUCAACGCAUAAAU
RNAcentral lists this long non-coding RNA (431 nucleotides) under Nicotiana tabacum (common tobacco). RNAcentral describes it as "long non-coding RNA (NTAB_LNC000986)". Lineage: Eukaryota; Viridiplantae; Streptophyta; Magnoliopsida; Solanales; Solanaceae. The record is from RNAcentral.